This is a long non-coding RNA of Oncorhynchus tshawytscha (Chinook salmon), 725 nucleotides long. The record is from Ensembl. Lineage: Eukaryota; Metazoa; Chordata; Actinopteri; Salmoniformes; Salmonidae.
AGAGCAGAAUCUAUCAGGUGUCUGGCAGUCAGCCAUUUUCUGAUCACGCUUAUUCCUCAUGGUAUCCACUGCUCAUGAAGACACAUACUCCGGAUGAGCAUUUAGAUAUGUAUACCAAACGCGCUAACAAAAGACGGUACAUUUAUUUUGGACCUGGGAUUCCUGGAGUGCUUUCUGAUGUAGAUCAAAGCUAAGUCCUCUCCUGUUCCCUGAUUAAGAGGUGAUGACAACUCCACUACCAUUGUCAACUCUCUCCUGACAUGAACUGAAGCCACGUCUCAUGUGCUCGCUCAUCCACUGGCACUUUGCAUGUUUCCUCUCCAAGCACUUUAAAUCCUGUCCUGCACUGAAGUCAAGCCUCUGAACACCUCAACUCAUGCCUCAUACCUCACUGCUGUGAUCCCUUCUCAUUCCCAUUCCCCAUAAUAUUGUACAAUACAUGUCUUUAGUAAAUGAUUUAGGUGAAAAUAAUUACUCUUUGAUUAUUUUUUAAAUACACAUAGACGUCUCCUUGCGCCUAUACCAUUGGUCUCCCAUCCUCCUCAAUUGUUAAAGUCACCAGCCUCCACUGCUCUCCACUGUGGUACUGUCUUAAUGCUAGACACAAUGCCAUAGUAAUUAGAUUGUAACCAGUGUCUAAGGGCUCUAUUCAAUUCACAUCGCGGAAGUUCAGCUUUAGUGUGAUUGAAAUUUAAAGGCAACGUUCCUACUUUAGCAGAGACUGC